AAUAAUGCAAAUAAAUUUUUAUUUGAUUCUUUCGUCGGCAAUUAAUGUUAAAUUUGGCAAACGAGUGAUUUUGGCAGUUAAUGGAAAAGGAUGGAAGUUUCGUGGAGUCUAAGGUUAGGCGAUUUUAUCAUUGGCAGUUAAUGAUUAGCAGUUAAUAUCAUAUCUUAAUCUAUAAAAAAAAAAGCAAUUAAUAUCAUGCAUUCAAUUGGUGAGAAGGAACAUCAGGGAGCAAUGAAGAUCCAGGAACAAGAUUGAAAUCAAAAGCAGCAGCAAUAAUGAAUCGAAAGAAAUCUUAUGGCCACAAAAGGUUGAUUAAUAUUUCAAGGGAAAUGAUUUUAGGAAAUUAGGCUGAGGUGAAGGGCUUCACAGCACAUAUCGUUAUAACCUGAAGUUGGAGAUGCCUGAGUAGAAGAUGUGUUAACUUGACUAAAGGUUGGUUCAUCAAUUCCUCAUGGUCUAUAUAUCAAGAUUCACUAUAAUAGACUUGGCAAGGAUGGGAUUUUUAGCCAGAAAGAAUUGUACUGUAUAUUCAAGAUCUGUAAGAAUGUCUCCCUUCAGUGAAAGCAUGUAGAGAUCAAUUGCUUAGAGAAACCAACACAGAGAAACAAGGUUUAAGUUUGAACUUUCCUAGCUCUUAAAAACCGUGACAUUCUUAAGACACUACCUACAAAUGAAAAAUGUACAGCCUACCUCAACCAAGGCACCAUAUCUUCUGUGAGUUUUGAGGUCAUGUCAAUGCCUCAGAGUUCUCUAACAUACAAAAAUGAGCGUCCGACACUGUAAUUUCUUAUAGUUUUCACUAAUGUUGAUAUCUCCUGCGUGCACACUUAUAUUAGAAUAUCUCUUCCUUAAUGUGUUCCUAGUAGAUGUCUACUGAUGUAAGCAUAUGGUACAAUUGCAUAACUUUUGAUAAUUAAAUAUGCCUCAACAAUGGAAAAUUAUCAUAGCAGUAACAGGAUAGUAUAUAUUGUUGAAUGUUUUCUUAGAGAGGACCCAAGCAAUGAGUCCUUUCUUCAUUCUUUCCCGGUUUUAUACCGUAAUAUGCCAUCUCUUGCUGGUUUAUCAUUUGAAAUCGUUAUUUCCUAUUUGAAAGUUCUUGAAAGUUCUACGGAAGCCCACACAUAAAGGAUCCUGUUAUCGCUGCUUUUACCAAGUAUUAUUGAAAGGCUUUCCCUCUUAGUAAAGGUAUUAAGUGUACUACAUAUGGUUAUGAUUUAGGUUAGUCUUAACUUUCGCCGUGUUGAAGAGAUAUUAUUUAAUGUAGAUUCCGCCUGAUUUUAUGGCCAUUGACUUGGUUAAGUUUUUUGGGGUCCUACUGACUGGGUACAUAGUAAUCACAAGUUUGAUUAGAUGAGAAACUUUAAAAAGGGUGAUGGCUAAUGUUAUAUUAUCAAGGAUAAAUUUUUGAUGUGUACGUUCUUUGAUGGGGGCAUGAGGGACAAAUCAGAAGUUGAUAUGUGUUUUUCAUAUUAAUUGGUUCAACUAAUUUUGCUUCCAAAAAUAUCAAAGAUAAAAUAUAAGCAAUUAAGAUAACCAAUAUUUUCUCAAAAAAUAAACUUGUCUUGUUUUUUUUGGAAACAAAAUUUGUUGGAAUCAAUUAAUAUGAAAAACACAUGUCAACUCCUGAUUUGUCCUUCAUACCCCAUCAAA
Molecule: long non-coding RNA, 1650 nt
Organism: Papaver somniferum (opium poppy)
Lineage: Eukaryota; Viridiplantae; Streptophyta; Magnoliopsida; Ranunculales; Papaveraceae
Exons: 6
Source: RefSeq, a predicted model, not a curated record